Prinia subflava (tawny-flanked prinia) is the source of this 4138-nucleotide long non-coding RNA. RefSeq lists it as uncharacterized. The transcript has 3 exons. The record is from RefSeq and is a predicted model, not a curated record. Lineage: Eukaryota; Metazoa; Chordata; Aves; Passeriformes; Cisticolidae.
AAAAUGCAUUUGCAAACAUAAUUACAGAUGCAGCAAUGUCCUCUAAUAAUGGAUUAUAUAAAGCAUGUUAUGAAAUGCAUUCAUAUCAACCUCUUGGCGAGUUAUACUACCUGCUAUAACCAGGUGUUAUAAAAACAAUCAUGGCUCUGUGGGAAUUAGUGACACAAACUACGUACCCUGUAAAUAAAAUACAAUUCCAGGUAGUUGUAAAAGGUGCUGUAGAGGGUGGUGAAGUUAUUUUGGACGUGCUGGAGCCAGGAGCACAGAGGGGAAGCAGCUCUUGGGAAAAGCGUGGUGAUAAAUGGUGCUUCAAUGUCCAUUGGCUGACUCUUGGCUCAAGGCCUCCAGGUUGCUCCAGCUGUCCUUAUGUGCCACAAUAUUUUGUCCUGGUUUGUAGUCCCAAAUUCCCAUCAAAAUGUGCAGCUCUUUGCUCACCUAAGUAAUGAAUGAAAAAUAAUUGAGACUGUAGUCCUGAAUUAUUGCCAAGUGUUUAUGAAGUUGCUUCAAUUUGCUGGAUUCCCACAUGAAGGCUUUAUUUGAAGCCUUUUCAGUUGAAUGGAAAUUUACUGUUGAAUUGGGCAAUCUCUGGAUAAAGUCUUGGUUUAAUUUUGUGAGAUUAUUUCUUUAGGGCAGAAGGGAUGUUAUUCUGAGUUAUUAGGUUGUGUAUUUUGCUGUGUCAUGAGAAGAACAAAUGGAUUUCUUCUACUUCCUCAUCACUAAAAACAGCCUCUAGUAAAAGAUAAGCAGAACCAGAACAGAUAAAAAGGAAGCCCCUUCCCUUUUCUCCUGGCACUGAACCUUUACCCAAAAUCUAUUUUUUUGUAUGGUUCCUGUUGUUGUUCAUAUAUUUCCUAGUUCUGCCUAGGACAGGGAGCACAGUCACAACCACACAAGUUCCCAUCAUCGUGUUUCUUUCAGAAACUAUUCAGAAAAAACCUCCCCCAGCCCAUUUUUUUUUUCCAAUAACAGAUGUUGGAGCAGUUGAGAAAGCAAAUAGUGCACAGACCAUGGGUACCACAUCAGUGAACUGCAAUUCAAUUUAAGAAUGCAGCUGCAGAAACACGCUCCUCAAUGCAUCAGAUGCAAGUUUUUGAGGAUGAAAUGCACCAUACAGCAGGCCCAAAGCCCAGCUCUCUGGAACCAAGAACCUGCUUGCAAAUGAGUGAGAUGCCCUUUCAAGCUGCUUUCCUGCAUAUUUCCCCUAUGAAAUCCAGUAGAUUAUGGUGCAUAACUACUGUUAUGCAGACAUGAUGUUGGGAUGCAGCUGGGACAUAUGCUCAGACACAGAAAUUGAGAUUUAUUUCCAUAGAAGCAGCUACCCUGAUAAUUUGCAAGCACAUCUUUCCUCCAAGGACCUGAAAGCACUUCACAAAUAUUGUUGGAGGCUCAGAAUGUUCUUGCACUUAAGUAAACUCGUUCUUAGAGAGGUUAAGUGAUUUAUUUGAGGUUUCUCAGUAAAUCAGAGGUAGAGGUAGGAAGUGAAACAAGAUCAUGACUGCAAAUGACAUCCUUUAACCUUUGGAGGUGCUACUGUGUACAAAGGCCUGACCCCACCAGCCUCACUCAUAUGAGCAGUGUCUCUGAAGUUAAUGGGAUGACUGGCGUGAGAAAAGGGCUGCAAUAUUUGCCUCUUUAGGCCUUUCUCUGUGAAGUGUUUAAUAUUUCCCCUGAGGUAUGUUUGGCUUCACCUCCUACGGAGUGUCUUAUAGCAACAACAACAACAGCAACAGAAAAGUCAGUUCCAUUUUCUUCCUUUAGUGUUUAAAAAUCAGGAUCCAAGGCGAGCGCUCUCUCUGGGCGGGCGCUAAGCCACGGGGACCUGAAGAGGGUUGGUGUUUCUUGGAAAUGGGCUUUGACUCCUCUGCUUUUCUCCUUCACAGGGAAAGAAGAGAUUCUGGGACACAGUAUGGACCUGCACGUUUCUCAGCUGGUAAAAAAACAUAGUCCAUAUUUCUUCUCAGCAAAACGUUUGGCUCUGCCCCAACCUCAGCAAUCACAAAGGCUAAUAGGCUUGAAAUGAAUGAAGAGGUAGCAGAGGAGAGAGUGACACAGGCAGUAAAUUAUAGGAGCGGUCUGGCACCCAUCCUUGGAAGCUGGCCCGGCUGUGAACGCCGGGGUUGGCCCUCCGCACGCUGUUGCUAAGCCCACGGCCCAAUAGCCGGCAGCGCCCCGCGCACCCCGCCCGCGCCCCGGCCGCAGCCCCGCUCCGGCCCGCCCCCAGGAAAAGCUGCUUUUCUCCCACUUGCUAAUAAUAAUAAUUAAAAAAAAAAUAGAAAAGAAAAAGAAAAGAAGCCCAAAAGCGCGGCGUUUGUGCACGCAGACCCUGCCCGGCUCUCGGCAGGAGCGGAGCGGAGGGAGCGGGGCAGCGCCAGCCCGUGCCCGGCUCCCGCUGCGGUGGAUGGGGCUCCGCGCCGGGCUCCGGUCGGACUCGUUCUGCGCUCCCUCCCUCUGCUCCCACUGCCUCAAGGUAUAGGGCAGAAACAAAGGGAUUUUUCUCUCCCCCCCACCCUUCUCCUUUUUUUCUUUUUUAAUAACUUUAUCAACUCAGGAGCCCAGGAUGAUUUGUGUGUUUCAUAGUCUCCCUGUGCUUUUACUCUCGGUUAGAACUUGGAUCCUUUCCAUUUCUCAGUUAAAAACUAUUUUUUUUCCUUUUUCUUUUCCUUUUCUUUUUUUUUCGCCCUUCUCUCUUUCCCCCCAGUUGUUUGUGGUUUUGCUGGAAAGGGCAUUGUUAACCCUUUCACCUCCUGGCUGUCAAAGGCUCUCUUGGCUGAGCUAUUUUAGGUAUUUUUGGAACAGCAGAAUAAAGUGCUGGGUUUCAAAAACACAAAAUGAAAAAAAAAAAAAAAAACCAGCCAAGAACAGUGAUGGAAAAGAUUUACAUUGAAACUGCUACUGUAGGAUAAACCCAGUUAAACAAGCAGAGCCCCUGUUACGGGUUUACAGGAGCCCUCAGCACUUUUGCAAGGCACAGGAUGAGGCCAUUCCAAGCUGGUGCUCCAAAGCAUCGAUUUAAGGGGCAGAAGGUGAGAGGUUUGGUAAAAGCACAGGAGGAGGUGACAGUCCUGGCUGCUCCACGAUGGAGAGGGAGCCAGGCCACCAUGUGCUGCUGCUGGACAGGGCUGACACCCCUCCCUCGCACAGCGUGUGCACAGAGCCCUGCUUUUGGGUGAAAAACUGGGAAUUCUGGGGCUCUUUGCUGCCUAACCACAUAAAAAGGCAAAAGGUGCACUUUUACACCGGGGCUGUGCUCAGUGCCAUGUCACACUUGCCUGUGGCUGAACAUGAAGUCCUCAACACACCAGGGACACACACAAAUCGUGGGAAAAGCCGGGCAAAUUCUCGCUGGAAGUUGUAAAACCUAGAGGAUUAAUUUUUCCUGUUGUCCAUAGGAGACUAGGGACUGGGAAGCUGGAAUCUGUCAUUGAAGGUAUUUUUUUCCCCUCCUCAUCUGCAGUUGCAGCUGCAGACAGUGGGUAAGGUCUCUCCCGUGGGGAGGCUGGGCUGGGUGCGCACGUCCGCGCCUGCACCGCUCCCAGAGCUUCCCCAGCUGAAGUCCUGGAGCUUUGAGGGAAUGCUAGAAACAGAGAUGACUUCAAUAUUUGGCAGCAGAUAGGCUAAGUUAUCUUUUUCCUUUUAAAUAGAGCAUAUUAUGCAAGCAGGUUUUAUUAUAAUUAUGGGUAUUUAUUAUUUCUGUAGAUUAUAAAAGAAUAUUCUUGGCAGUAGGGAUGUAAAUUUAGUAUUUCAUGGCAUUUGUGAAUUAAGUAACACGGCAUUCUUGUACACCUUCUCAAAGCACAUGAAAAAUCCCCUCUUAUAUUUGCACGUCCUGUGGUAGUUAGCACAUAGUAUUUUUCCUUUUUAGACUUUAAAAAAACCCUUUUUGUAUUGGUUAAAACAAGUGCAUAUGUUUUCCAGCAUCCUCCCCGGUACGAUUGCUGUUCCUGAAUGUUUCUGUUCAUGUUAGCAUGUAUGUUUGUUCUGCCUGUUAGUUCAGUUUUGUAGAACAAAUGGAGAAAACGAAAAUAUAGAUUUUUAACCGCAACAAGAUUCCCUGCAGACAGGAUUUUUUUGUACAGCUAUAGAAAUGCAGCAGCUCAGAGGAAGAGCACAGCGUGUAAUUCUACAUACAUCACAGCCC